CCUACGGGAGGCAGCAGUGAGGAAUAUUGGUCAAUGGUCGGGAGACUGAACCAGCCAAGCCGCGUGAGGGAGGAAGGUACAGAGUAUCGUAAACCUCUUUUGUCAGGGAACAAAGGCGGGGACGUGUCCCCGGAUGAGUGUACCUGAAGAAAAAGCAUCGGCUAACUCCGUGCCAGCAGCCGCGGUAAUACGGAGGAUGCGAGCGUUAUCCGGAUUUAUUGGGUUUAAAGGGUGCGCAGGCGGUCUGUUAAGUCAGCGGUCAAAGCCCGGGGCUCAACCCCGGCCCGCCGUUGAAACUGGCAGUCGCGAGUUGGAGAGAAGUAUGCGGAAUGCGCGGUGUAGCGGUGAAAUGCAUAGAGAUCGCGCAGAACUCCGAUUGCGAAGGCAGCAUGCCGGCUCCACACUGACGCUGAGGCACGAAAGCGUGGGUAUCGAACAGGAGUAGAUACCCUGGUAGUC
Molecule: ribosomal RNA, 459 nt
Filed under: uncultured bacterium
Lineage: Bacteria
Description: partial 16S ribosomal RNA
Rfam family: Bacterial small subunit ribosomal RNA
Source: RNAcentral